ACUCAAAGGAAUAGACGGGGGCCCGCACAAGCGGCGGAGCGUGCGGUUUAAUUCGACGCAACGCGCAGAACCUUACCAGGGCUUGACAUGGACCUGCACGGCUCGGAAACGGGUCAGCCUUCGAGGGUGGUUCACAGGUGCUGCAUGGCUGUCGUCAGCUCGUGCCGUGAGGUGUUGGGUUAAGUCCCGCAACGAGCGCAACCCCCGUGGGUAGUUGCCGAUGUUUCUACCCAGACUGCCGCGUGCAACGCGGAGGAAGGCGGGGAUGACGUCAAGUCAGCAUGGCCCGUACGUCCUGGGCGACACGCACGCUACAAUGGCCGGGACAGCGGGUAGCCAAGCCGCGAGGCGGAGCGAAUCCCCCAAACCCGGUCUCAGUUGGGAUCGCGGGCUGCAACUCGCCCGCGUGAACGUGGAGUCGCUAGUAACCGCGGGUCAGCACUACCGCGGUGAAUACGUUCCCGGGCCUUGUACACACCGCCCGU
Molecule: ribosomal RNA, 485 nt
Filed under: uncultured bacterium
Lineage: Bacteria
Description: partial 16S ribosomal RNA
Rfam family: Bacterial small subunit ribosomal RNA
Source: RNAcentral